CCCAACUGAUUGAACGUGCUUGCACGGACUUGACGUUGGUUUACCAGCGAGUGGCGGACGGGUGAGUAACACGUAGGUAACCUGCCCCAAAGCGGGGGAUAACAUUUGGAAACAGAUGCUAAUACCGCAUAACAAUUUGAAUCGCAUGAUUCAAAUUUAAAAGAUGGCUUCGGCUAUCACUUUGGGAUGGACCUGCGGCGCAUUAGCUUGUUGGUAGGGUAACGGCCUACCAAGGCUGUGAUGCGUAGCCGAGUUGAGAGACUGAUCGGCCACAAUGGAACUGAGACACGGUCCAUACUCCUACGGGAGGCAGCAGUAGGGAAUCUUCCACAAUGGGCGCAAGCCUGAUGGAGCAACACCGCGUGAGUGAAGAAGGGUUUCGGCUCGUAAAGCUCUGUUGUUAGAGAAGAACGUGCGUGAGAGCAACUGUUCACGCAGUGACGGUAUCUAACCAGAAAGUCACGGCUAACUACGUGCCAGCAGCCGCGGUAAUACGUAGGUGGCAAGCGUUAUCCGGAUUUAUUGGGCGUAAAGCGAGCGCAGGCGGUUUGAUAAGUCUGAUGUGAAAGCCUUUGGCUUAACCAAAGAAGUGCAUCGGAAACUGUCAGACUUGAGUGCAGAAGAGGACAGUGGAACUCCAUGUGUAGCGGUGGAAUGCGUAGAUAUAUGGAAGAACACCAGUGGCGCAGGCGGCUGUCUGGUCUG
This 705-nucleotide ribosomal RNA is filed under the name uncultured Bacilli bacterium. RNAcentral describes it as "bacterial SSU rRNA". It matches the Rfam family "Bacterial small subunit ribosomal RNA", at positions 62 to 736 of the family's 1533-position model. Lineage: Bacteria; Bacillati; Bacillota; Bacilli. The record is from RNAcentral.